CGGCGAGUAGCGCAGCUUGGUAGCGCAACUGGUUUGGGACCAGUGGGUCGGAGGUUCGUAUCCUCUCUCGCCGACCA
RNAcentral lists this transfer RNA (77 nucleotides) under Escherichia coli. RNAcentral describes it as "tRNA-Pro". It matches the Rfam family "tRNA". Rfam says of the family: Transfer RNA (tRNA) molecules are approximately 80 nucleotides in length. Their secondary structure includes four short double-helical elements and three loops (D, anti-codon, and T loops). The record is from RNAcentral. Lineage: Bacteria; Pseudomonadati; Pseudomonadota; Gammaproteobacteria; Enterobacterales; Enterobacteriaceae.